RNAcentral lists this ribosomal RNA (427 nucleotides) under uncultured bacterium. RNAcentral describes it as "partial 16S ribosomal RNA". It matches the Rfam family "Bacterial small subunit ribosomal RNA", at positions 355 to 774 of the family's 1533-position model. The record is from RNAcentral.
UGGGGAAUAUUGCACAAUGGGCGCAAGCCUGAUGCAGCCAUGCCGCGUGUAUGAAGAAGGCCUUCGGGUUGUAAAGUACUUUCAGCGGGGAGGAAGGCGAUAAGGUUAAUAACCUUGUCGAUUGACGUUACCCGCAGAAGAAGCACCGGCUAACUCCGUGCCAGCAGCCGCGGUAAUACGGAGGGUGCAAGCGGUAAUCGGAAUUACGGGGCGUAAAGCGCACGCAGGCGGUCUGUCAAGUCGGAUGUGAAAUCCCCGGGCUCAACCUGGGAACUGCAUUCGAAACUGGCAGGCUAGAGUCUUGUAGAGGGGGGUAGAAUUCCAGGUGUAGCGGUGAAAUGCGUAGAGAUCUGGAGGAAUACCGGUGGCGAAGGCGGCCCCCUGGACAAAGACUGACGCUCAGGUGCGAAAGCGUGGGGAGCAAACA